RNAcentral lists this ribosomal RNA (166 nucleotides) under uncultured bacterium. RNAcentral describes it as "partial 16S ribosomal RNA". It matches the Rfam family "Bacterial small subunit ribosomal RNA", at positions 1335 to 1500 of the family's 1533-position model. The record is from RNAcentral.
CUAGUAAUCGCGAAUCAGAAUGUCGCGGUGAAUACGUUCCCGGGUCUUGUACACACCGCCCGUCACACCAUGGGAGUCGGAUAUGCCCGAAGCCGGUGACCUAACCGCAAGGAAGGAGCCGUCGAAGGUGGAGCCGAUGACUGGGGUGAAGUCGUAACAAGGUAAC